UACGGAGGGUGCGAGCGUUAAUCGGAAUUACUGGGCGUAAAGCGCGCGUAGGCGGUUCGAUAAGUCGGGUGUGAAAGCCCCGGGCUUAACCUGGGAAUUGCAUCCGAUACUGUCGAGCUAGAGUCUGGGAGAGGGAAGGGGAAUUCCGGGUGUAGCGGUGAAAUGCGUAGAUAUCCGGAGGAACACCAGUGGCGAAGGCGCCUUCCUGGACCAAGCCUGACGCUGAGGUGCGAAAGCGUGGGGAGCAAACAGG
RNAcentral lists this unclassified non-coding RNA (253 nucleotides) under uncultured Gammaproteobacteria bacterium. RNAcentral describes it as "contains 16S-23S intergenic spacer region". It matches the Rfam family "Bacterial small subunit ribosomal RNA", at positions 524 to 776 of the family's 1533-position model. The record is from RNAcentral. Lineage: Bacteria; Pseudomonadati; Pseudomonadota; Gammaproteobacteria.